RNAcentral lists this long non-coding RNA (1515 nucleotides) under Oryctolagus cuniculus (rabbit). RNAcentral describes it as "lncRNA (ENSOCUG00000038474.1)". The record is from RNAcentral. Lineage: Eukaryota; Metazoa; Chordata; Mammalia; Lagomorpha; Leporidae.
AUGUCCAUGCACAGGGCCUUCCUGUCUGCACCACCGGGCCUUCCUGUCUACACCACAGUGCUUCCUGUCUACACCACAGGGCCUUCCUGUCUCCAUGCACAGGGCCUUCCUGUCUACACCACAGGGCCUUCCUGUCUGCACCACAGGGCAUUCCUGUCUCCAUGCAUAGGGCCUUCCUGUCUCCACCACAGGGCCUUCCUGUCUCCACCACAGGGCCUUCCUGUCUACACCGCAAGGCAUUCCUGUCUCCACCACAGGGCCUUCCUGUCUCCACCACAGGGCCUUCCUGUCUAUACCACUGGGCCUUCCUGUCUACACCACAGGGCCUUCCUGUCUACACUGCAAGGCAUUCCUGUUUACACCACAGGGCCUUCCUGUCUACACCGCAGGGCCUUCCUGUCUACACUGCAAGGCAUUCCUGUCUACACCACAGGGCCUUCCUGUCUCCACCACAGAGCCUUCCUGUCUACACCACAGGGCCUUCCUGUCUGCACCACCGAGCCUUCCUGUCUAUACCACAGUGCUUCCUGUCUACACCGCAAGGCAUUCCUGUCUACACCACAGGGCAUUCUUGUCUACACCACAGGGCAUUCCUGUCUACACCGCAAGGCAUUCCUGUCUACACCACAGGGCAUUCUUGUCUACACCACAGGGCAUUCCUGUCUACACCGCAAGGCAUUCCUGUUUACACCACAGGGCCUUCCUGUCUACACCACAGUGCCUUCCUGUCUCCACCACAGGGCAUUCCUGUCUACACUGCAAGGCAUUCCUGUCUACACCACAGGGCCUUCCUGUCUACACCACAGGGCCUUCCUGUCUACACCACAGGGCCUUCCUGUCUAUACCGCAAGGCAUUCCUGUCUACACCACAGGGCCUUCCUGUCUACACCACAGUGCCUUCCUGUCUCCACCACAGGGCCUUCCUGUCUACACCACAGGGCAGCUGUUGUUACGUGCACUCCAGCUGCCCCAGGCUUGGAGACCACAUCCUCCACGACGCAUCUACUCUCUAUUAGGGGCUUCUCCAAGUGUGUGUCCAGUGAGUGCUGUCUACACAUGGGCAGCUAUGCGUCCAGUGACAGCUGUCACACCAUGGGAACUACGUGUCCAGUGAGUGCUGUCCACACCAUGGGCGGCUAUGAGUCCAGUGACAGCUGUCCACACCAUGGGAGCUACGUGUCCAGUGACAGCUGUCCACACCAUGGGAGCUAUGCGUCCAGUGACAGCUGUCCACACAUGGCAGCUAUGCGUCCAGUGAGCGCUGUCCACACCAUGGGAGCUACACGUCCAGUGACAGCUGCCACACCAUGGGCAGCUACGCGUCCAGUGAGUGCUGUCCACACCAUGGGGAGCUAUGUGUCCAGCGUGAGCUCUCUACAAGAUGACCACUCUCUACGAGAUGGGAGCUGUGUCCAGUGUGAGCUCUACGAGAUGGACAGCCACAUGUCCAGUGACAGCUUUCCCCGCGCCAUGGGAGCUCUCCUUACAAGACGUGACACUGCCUAUUUCCACUGA